Molecule: long non-coding RNA, 821 nt
Organism: Onychomys torridus (southern grasshopper mouse)
Lineage: Eukaryota; Metazoa; Chordata; Mammalia; Rodentia; Cricetidae
Exons: 3
Source: RefSeq, a predicted model, not a curated record
UCCUGCAGAUGCCAGCUCCUGCUCCCGCAGAUUGCCAGUCGAGAUGCGGCAAAGCAGAGGCGGACAGCUAGGCACAAAGCAACUGAGUUUUAAACUUUGAUUUUCCUGCUUCUGCCUAGCGUCUCCCACGAAGACCAUUACCUUUGUGAAGCCAGGAGCCAAGAUGCGGUCCAAAUGUGCACGGCGGCUUCUGACGUGGCAACAUGAAUUCUCAGUUGGGCAGAUUGUACCACUCAUCUCGGGGAGAUUGUGCCAUUCUGAGGAGGUGGCACGGACUACCCAUCCUCCUUGGGGAGCAGAGCGGAGUCAUUUAGUGGACAAGGGGCUUCCGGAAUUGUCCUUCUAAUGGCAUGGAGACAGCACGUGGUUCAUGCCAAUCAGCAAUACCUUUGCAUUUGAAUAUUUCAGGGAGGGAUCAGAGGUAUGUAUGACAGCCAUUUGAGAAGGAGAUCUUGGGAUUUUGCUCGAGACUCAGCCCAGAUGUGUUCCUUCAUAAUUCAUUCACCUGGUCUACCCACUCCUGUGUGUUUCCCCUACCUGCCCCUACCUUUUUGUAAGGUUUGAAAUUACCAGCUCAGUGGGGGAGCCCAGCAAAUGAUUAAGUUCUUCUAGGUAAGUGUCCCAAAUCCAUAUGUGUGCAUUCUCAUUGCAGGCCAGAGGUCAGCUUCUGAUGUCAGCCCUCCAGUGCUCUCUACUUUUUUUUGUUUUUUUUUGAGACAAGGUCUCUCACUGGGCUGGAGGUUGGCCAGUUAGCUUAGGGUGGCUAACCAGUGAGUCCUAGAGACCUGCCUGUUUCUGCCUCCUGAGUUCUGGGAUUUGUC